This 545-nucleotide ribosomal RNA is filed under the name unidentified oil field bacterium THIO1. RNAcentral describes it as "bacterial SSU rRNA". It matches the Rfam family "Bacterial small subunit ribosomal RNA", at positions 362 to 896 of the family's 1533-position model. Lineage: Bacteria; Pseudomonadati; Pseudomonadota. The record is from RNAcentral.
UAUUGCACAAUGAGGGAAACCUUGAUGCAGCCAUGCCGCGUGUGUGAAGAAGGCCCGAGGGUUGUAAAGCACUUUCAAUUGUGAGGAAAGGUUAGUUGCUAAUAACAGCUAACUGUGACGUUAACUUUAGAAGAAGCACCGGCUAACUCUGUGCCAGCAGCCGCGGUAAUACAGAGGGUGCCAAGCGUUAUUCGGAAUUACUGGGCGUAAAGCGCGCGUAGGCGGACUGUUAAGUCGGUUGUGAAAGCCCUGGGCUCAACCUAGGAAUUGCAUCCGAUACUGGCAAUCUAGAGUUUAGGAGAGGGAAGUGGAAUUCCUGGUGUAGCAGUGAAAUGCGUAGAUAUCAGGAGGAACAUCAGUGGCGAAGGCGACUUCCUGGCCUAAAACUGACGCUGAGGUGCGAAAGCUUGGGUAGCGAACGGGAUUAGAUACCCCGGUAGUCCAAGCCGUAAACGAUGUCAACUAGCUGGUUGGCCUUAUUAAAAAGGUUAGUAGCGUAGCUAACGCACUAAGUUGACCGCCUGGGGAGUACGGUCGCAAGAUUA